Molecule: ribosomal RNA, 253 nt
Filed under: uncultured bacterium
Lineage: Bacteria
Description: partial 16S ribosomal RNA
Rfam family: Bacterial small subunit ribosomal RNA
Source: RNAcentral
UACGAAGGGGGCUAGCGUUGCUCGGAAUUACUGGGCGUAAAGCGCACGUAGGCGGCUCUUUAAGUCGGGGGUGAAAUCCUGGAGCUCAACUCCAGAACUGCCUUCGAUACUGAAGAGCUUGAGUCCGGGAGAGGUGAGUGGAACUGCGAGUGUAGAGGUGAAAUUCGUAGAUAUUCGCAAGAACACCAGUGGCGAAAGCGGCUCACUGGCCCGGUACUGACGCUGAGGUGCGAAAGCGUGGGGAGCAAACAGG